Molecule: non-coding RNA, 2165 nt
Organism: Struthio camelus australis
Lineage: Eukaryota; Metazoa; Chordata; Aves; Struthioniformes; Struthionidae
Source: RefSeq, a predicted model, not a curated record
UGCCGCCCCCUCCCUGAAGCAGCUCCUCAGCGUGUUAACGCUCUUCUGAAGUGCAGAAGGCCGCAAAAAACGAGGGUGGCUGGCAAGACAGUUUUUUUUUCCUCGUACGAGGCUCUGAAGAGGAACACUAGCUUUGUUGGAGGUAUGGGGAAAAGGAGAUUAGGGUAUUAUUCAGUCUUUCACAGGUAACAAGGCCUUGAAGGAAGGAGCAAGACAACACUAUAAGGCAACCAGAUAAGGAAUAAAAAUAAACCUGAAGAGAACGAAAACAGUUGAUAAACAGGAGAGACCUACUUGAACUACGGGUGAACUAUCCUAAUUAGCAUAAUAAAAAACCCACCUACAAGCAGGGAAGCCCCCUGCUGAUCAAGCCCCUUCUCCAUAGAGCAUGCGUAGUAGAAAAAGAGGAUACUGUGACUUUAAAUGAAGAUGAGACCUAACAGAACCAAUGGGAACAAGGAUGCCUUAAUGUAGUUGUAAACUAUACUGAUAACUGUUGCUUAAACUGUAUACAGUGUAAGCUGUAUAGUAGUCAGGUGCGCUAGCUUUGUGGAAUUACCACCUAGCACCCAUUUCUGCGCAGAAAUGAAUUAAACAAAUAUCUCGACUCUGUGUGUUUUUGGCUCAUUGCACACCGGGUGAAAGAACCCUUCUUUGGGACAACAGCUUCAUUCGCAUCUGAGGAGAAUUUGGGUAGCUAGACUGUUAACUGUUCAAUUUCUGAAAUGAGUGACCUGCUCUCCUCUCACUAAUGCCACGGUGUCAAGCUACAGCAAAAACGAAGGCUGUAACGCGAAGUUAAUAUUCAGCUCUUCAGUUAGAUGAGUGGUUUUCUUUUUUUUUUUAGUUGAGAGAAAUUGGGAAAUAUUCCUUACUGUUUAAUUUAAGGAAUCUAAUCCUGACAAUUCAAAACAAUGAAUAUAAACUCAAGAAUUAAAGGGGUAAACUGCUGGCACUGUUUUUUAUGCAGCCUAAGCCAUCACUUGAAAGAUGAGUGAUUGUUUCGCUACUGUAGCGGUAUCCUGCUUGUGGUUACGAAACAUAAUGGCAGAUGUACUAAUGAAUGUCUUCUAGUUCUUGUGCCAGAGUUGUUUGAUUCAGGCUGCGACUGCACUGUCUAAGCAUGCUUUCCAGGAACAUGCAUGUGUCUUGUGAGGCUAAGAUGCAUCUAAUUAGUUAAUAUACUCCACUCUGCUGGCAAGCGCUAUUGGUUACUUGGAGUCAUUUUUUAGUUUAUCAAGUCUUCAAAGUAGUGAUAAAUUAGACAUCCAAAGAGAUUUGUUUGCUUUUUAUCUUCAUAAAUCACUUUCUUCAUCAGCAAAUGCAUGGCCUAAUUCUAAAGAUAAAUUACUUUUUUUUUUCCCCCUCCGGGGAAUUUGUUUAGUGUUCUGUAGUGAGCCUGAUCAUGCCCUUUUUGGAUUGUAGGUACAGAUUAAAAAUCAUGAGUAAUUGCAGGGACAGAAUCCCAAGGUAUCUCCAUAGUCUCAAAGGCAGCAUCCUCUUGCCAGGAUGAUUGCAUGAGUGCGAUCUUGAGUUGAACCUGUAGGAAAACAUGUCAUCCAUGGCACAUGAAAGGUUCAAGGCUCUCCUCUCUCCAGUGAUGGAUAUUCCUUAGGAAUAGCAUGUAAUUGUAAAAUCUUAUUCUUUGUUUGGGACUUGUUUUAGAUAUAAUGUUAAUGCCUUUUAUUUAACCUUAAUCUCCAGACUGAUACUGUGUGUACUUUGCCUCUCUCCCCAGUUAAUAAAGCCAGCAAUGCUUUCAUGAAGCUGUCAAGUGGAUUGAUAUUUCUUUGCUGCCUGGGUUACUUUCGCCGAGGAGCGCUGAGGGUUUUUGUUACUGGCUCUGAAGUGGAGCUCUGUGAUGAAGAAAACCUAUUUUUUUUGCUUCUCAAUUUGUUUUCUUUGUUCUAGGUAGUAAAUGGAGUUGGAGGUGAAUUUGUUUCUGGCUUUGAGAAUCUUCAGUCUAGACUUUGCCAUGCUGUUAUUCUGCAAGCAAAAAGGCAUCACAUGAUUUCUCACGCUACAGACGUGGUAUAUCAUCAGAUGACUAUCUCAACUAUCUCUGCUUCUAGAAGCAUGGAUGUUUAGGAAGUGGAAAAUAGAAGCCUGAAGUGUGGAGUCCAAGUGCACUUGGAAACACUUACACAGCCCUUCCUGCUCCUGAG